GAUGAACGCUGGCGGCGUGCUUAACACAUGCAAGUCGAACGAUGAAGCUCAGCUUGCUGGGUGGAUUAGUGGCGAACGGGUGAGUAACACGUGAGUAACCUGCCCUUAACUCUGGGAUAAGCCUGGGAAACUAGGUCUAAUACCGGAUAGGAGCGCCUACCGCAUGGUGGGUGUUGGAAAGAUUUAUCGGUUUUGGAUGGACUCGCGGCCUAUCAGCUUGUUGGUGAGGUAAUGGCUCACCAAGGCGACGACGGGUAGCCGGCCUGAGAGGGUGACCGGCCACACUGGGACUGAGACACGGCCCAGACUCCUACGGGAGGCAGCAGUGGGGAAUAUUGCACAAUGGGCGAAAGCCUGAUGCAGCGACGCCGCGUGAGGGAUGACGGCCUUCGGGUUGUAAACCUCUUUCAGUAGGGAAGAAGCGAAAGUGACGGUACCUGCAGAAGAAGCACCGGCUAACCACGUG
RNAcentral lists this ribosomal RNA (466 nucleotides) under uncultured bacterium. Its description in RNAcentral is "partial 16S ribosomal RNA". It matches the Rfam family "Bacterial small subunit ribosomal RNA", at positions 28 to 507 of the family's 1533-position model. The record is from RNAcentral.